CUACGGGGCGCAGCAGUGGGGAAUCUUGCACAAUGGAGGAAACUCUGAUGCAGCGAUGCCGCGUGAGUGAAGAAGGCCCUUGGGUUGUAAAGCUCUUUUGUCGGGAAAGAUAAUGACUGUACCCGAAGAAUAAGGUCCGGCUAACUUCGUGCCAGCAGCCGCGGUAAUACGAAGGGACCUAGCGUAAUUCGGAAUUACGGGGCGUAAAGCGCGCGUAGGCGGUUAAGUAAGUUAAUUGUGAAAGCCCAAAGCUCAACUUUGGAAUUGCAAUUAAAACUACUUAGCUAGAGUUUAUCAGAGGAAAGCGGAAUACAUAGUGUAGAGGUGAAAUUCGUAGAUAUUAUGUAGAACACCAGUCGCGAAGGCGGCUUUCUGGGAUAACACUGACGCUGAGGUGCGAAAGUAUGGGUAGCGAAGAGGAUUAGAUACCCUUGUAGUC
This 439-nucleotide ribosomal RNA is filed under the name uncultured bacterium. Its description in RNAcentral is "partial 16S ribosomal RNA". It matches the Rfam family "Bacterial small subunit ribosomal RNA", at positions 339 to 795 of the family's 1533-position model. The record is from RNAcentral.